GCUAAGUGUUUUGGGUGUGUGUUUGGAGGUCUUGGGUUCAAGUCUUAGUUUGGGAAAAUUCUGUUAUUUUUUUAUCCAAGCCUUAUUCCUGUUGAGUGGGCUUAUGUAAUAUCAUUUGUAAACUCAUAUCAGAAUAAGCCUGUUGGUUCGAGUGAUAAGGAGUUAGCUUGCUGGAGGUCUUAUGUUUGAAUCACUGCAUGAGUGUGGGUGAUAAUUUUUGCUUUAGUUCUCUGAGAGAGUUUGGAUGGGUUUGGAAGUCUUUAUAAGUGGAUGAGAGAGUGGGUAGUUGGGAUUGGGUUGAUAGGAGAUCAUGCCUUAAUUUGAGGGAUUUUGGUUUAUUUUUAUUUUAUUUUUGUUUUCAUUUUUUUUUCUUUUCUCUCUCUUCCUAAGGGAAAAUUCUAACGUCAAUUUCUCCAUUCUUUUUUACGUUUCCUUCUUGUUCUCCUUAUCUACAUCUUUGAUCCUUUAUCUCGUUUUCCUUCCCCUUCAAAUCUGUUUACA
RNAcentral lists this long non-coding RNA (501 nucleotides) under Gossypium raimondii (Peruvian cotton). RNAcentral's name for it is "long non-coding RNA (GRAI_LNC001935)". Lineage: Eukaryota; Viridiplantae; Streptophyta; Magnoliopsida; Malvales; Malvaceae. The record is from RNAcentral.